Molecule: ribosomal RNA, 253 nt
Filed under: uncultured bacterium
Lineage: Bacteria
Description: partial 16S ribosomal RNA
Rfam family: Bacterial small subunit ribosomal RNA
Source: RNAcentral
UACGAAGGGUGCAAGCGUUACUCGGAAUUACUGGGCGUAAAGCGUGCGUAGGUGGUUUGUUAAGUCUGUUGUGAAAGCCCCGGGCUCAACCUGGGAAUGGCAAUGGAUACUGGCAAGCUAGAGUGCGGUAGAGGGUAGUGGAAUUCCCGGUGUAGCGGUGAAAUGCGUAGAGAUCGGGAGGAACACCGGUGGCGAAGGCGGUUCUCUGGGCCUUACCUGACGCUGAGGAGCGAAAGCGUGGGGAGCGAACAGG